UGCAGUCGAGCGGAAGAUGGGAGCUUGCUCCCUGAUGUUAGCGGCGGACGGGUGAGUAACACGUGGGUAACCUGCCUGUAAGACUGGGAUAACUCCGGGAAACCGGGGCUAAUACCGGAUGGUUGUUUGAACCGCANGGUUCAGACAUAAAAGGUGGCUUCGGCUACCACUUACAGAUGGACCCGCGGCGCAUUAGCUAGUUGGUGAGGUAACGGCUCACCAAGGCAACGAUGCGUAGCCGACCUGAGAGGGUGAUCGGCCACACUGGGACUGAGACACGGCCCAGACUCCUACGGGAGGCAGCAGUAGGGAAUCUUCCGCAAUGGACGAAAGUCUGACGGAGCAACGCCGCGUGAGUGAUGAAGGUUUUCGGAUCGUAAAGCUCUGUUGUUAGGGAAGAACAAGUGCCGUUCAAAUAGGGCGGCACCUUGACGGUACCUAACCAGAAAGCCACGGCUAACUACGUGCCAGCAGCCGCGGUAAUACGUAGGUGGCAAGCGUUGUCCGGAAUUAUUGGGCGUAAAGGGCUCGCAGGCGGUUUCUUAAGUCUGAUGUGAAAGCCCCCGGCUCAACCGGGGAGGGUCAUUGGAAACUGGGGAACUUGAGUGCAGAAGAGGAGAGUGGAAUUCCACGUGUAGCGGUGAAAUGCGUAGAGAUGUGGAGGAACACCAGUGGCGAAGGCGACUCUCUGGUCUGUAACUGACGCUGAGGAGCGAAAGCGUGGGGAGCGAACAGGAUUAGAUACCCUGGUAGUCCACGCCGUAAACGAUGAGUGCUAAGUGUUAGGGGGUUUCCGCCCCUUAGUGCUGCAGCUAACGCAUUAAGCACUCCGCCUGGGGAGUACGGUCGCAAGACUGAAACUCAAAGGAAUUGACGGGGGCCCGCACAAGCGGUGGAGCAUGUGGUUUAAUUCGAAGCAACGCGAGAACCUUACCAGGUCUUGACAUCCUCUGACAAUCCUAGAGAUAGGACGUCCCCUUCGGGGCAGAGUGACAGUGGUGCAUGGUUGUCGUCAGCUCGUGUCGUGAGAUGUUGGGUUAAGUCCCGCACGAGCGCACCCUUGAUCUAGUGCCAGCAUUCAGUUGGGCACUCUAAGGUGACUGCCGGUGACAACCGAGAAGGGGGGAUGACGUCAAUC
Molecule: ribosomal RNA, 1138 nt
Filed under: Bacillus velezensis
Lineage: Bacteria; Bacillati; Bacillota; Bacilli; Caryophanales; Bacillaceae
Description: bacterial SSU rRNA
Rfam family: Bacterial small subunit ribosomal RNA
Source: RNAcentral